This 31-nucleotide non-coding RNA is filed under the name Mus musculus (house mouse). The record is from RNAcentral. Lineage: Eukaryota; Metazoa; Chordata; Mammalia; Rodentia; Muridae.
UGAAUGCUGACCCAAAUGAAUUCAACUAUAC